This 1372-nucleotide ribosomal RNA is filed under the name uncultured bacterium. RNAcentral's name for it is "bacterial SSU rRNA". It matches the Rfam family "Bacterial small subunit ribosomal RNA", at positions 28 to 1381 of the family's 1533-position model. The record is from RNAcentral.
GAUGAACGCUGGCGGCGUGCCUAAUACAUGCAAGUCGAGCGAACAGAUAACGAGCUUGCUCCUUUGACGUUAGCGGCGGACGGGAGAGUAACACGUGGGUAACCUACCUAUAACACUGGAAUAACUCCGGGAGACCGGGGCUAAUGCCAGAUAACAUUUAUAACCGCAUGGUUCUAAAGAGAAAGAUGGUUUUGCUAUCACUUAUAGAUGGACCCGCGCCGUAUUAGCUAGUUGGUAAGGUAACGGCUUACCAAGGCAACGAUACCUAACCGACCCAAGAGGGUGAUCGGCCACACUGGAACUGAGACACGGUCCAGACUCCUACGGGAGGCAACAGUAGGGAAUCUUCCGCAAUGGGCGAAAGCCUGACGGACCAACGCCACGAGAGUGAUGAAGGUCUUCAGAUCGUAAAACUCUGUUAUUAGGGAAGAACAAAUGUGUAAGUAACUAUGCACGUCUUGACGGUACCUAAUCAGAAAGCCACGGCUAACUACGUGCCAGCAGCCGCGAUAAUACGUAGGUGGCAAGCGUUAUCCGGAAUUAUUGGGCGUAAAGCGCGCGUAGGCGGUUUCUUAAGUCUGAUGUGAAAGCCCACGGCUCAACCGUGGAGGGUCAUUGGAAACUGGGAAACUUGAGUACAGAAGAGGAAAGUGGAAUUCCCUGUGUAGCGGUGAAAUGCACAGAGAUAUGGAGGAACCCCAGUGGCGAAGGCGACUUUCUGGUCUGUAACUGACGCUGAUGUGCGAAAGCGUGGGGAUCAAACAGGAUUAGAUACCCUGGUAGUCCCCGCCGUAAACGAUGAGUGCUAAGUGUUAGGGGGUUUCCCCCCCUUAGUGCUGCAGCUAACGCAUUAAGCACUCCGCCUGGGGAGUACGCCCGCAAGGUUGAAACUCAAAGGAAUUGACGGGGACCCGCACAAGCGGUGGAGCAUGUGGUUUAAUUUGAAGCAACGCGAAGAACCUUACCAAAUCUUGACAUCCUUUGACAACUCUAGAGAUAGAGCCUUCCCCUUCGGGGGACAAAGUCACAGGUGGUGCAUGGUUGUCGCCAGCUCGUGUCGUGAGAUGUUGGGUUAAGUCCCGCAACGAGCGCAACCCUUAAACUUAGUUGCCAGCAUUUAGUUGGGCACUCUAAGUUGACUGCCGGUGACAAACCGGAGGAAGGUGGGGAUGACGUCAAAUCAUCAUGCCCCUUAUGAUUUGGGCUACACACGUGCUACAAUGGACAAUACAAAGGGCAGCUAAACCGCGAGGUCAUGCAAAUCCCAUAAAGUUGUUCUCAGUUCGGAUGGUAGUCUGCAACUCGACUACAUGAAGCUGGAAUCGCUAGUAAUCGUAGAUCAGCAUGCUACGGUGAAUACGUUCCCGGGUCU